Nerophis ophidion (straightnose pipefish) is the source of this 3761-nucleotide long non-coding RNA. RefSeq lists it as uncharacterized. The transcript has 6 exons. NCBI's taxonomy places the organism in Eukaryota, Metazoa, Chordata, Actinopteri, Syngnathiformes, Syngnathidae. The record is from RefSeq and is a predicted model, not a curated record.
UCAAUUACUGCACUCGACUUUCAGCUGAGGAACCUGAAGUAGGCCUUGAUCCAGAAUAAUAUUAAAAAAAUAAAUAAUAAAAACAACAACUUUUUUUUGACGGACAUGGAUACGAGACGUCUAAAGGACCAACCUGCAGAAAAGCAGGCGGGGAUCCUGAUCCAGAUAAAGGGAGUCCGCAAAUCUUCUCGAACAGACUUGCCACCCAAACGCCGUUGAUACUCCCCUGCUGCUCUACUGCCACCAAGGAGAGAGGGGUAAGAAUGGGGAAAUGAUGGCGUUCUUCUCUUUGAGUCCCACAGUCGCCCAGUGAGCAGCCUGGCUUUCCCCAGGGCGCAUUCCACACAGCUGCUGAGUCUCAGCUACGACAGAUCCCUGCGCUGCAUGGAUGUGGAAAAAGCUGUCUUCGACGAUGGAGGUGAGCAUUUAUGACAUUUGAAGUCUGAAAAAGAAUAAAAGCCGGCCUGUCUGCCAGCUGAAUGGUCACUCUUUAAGCAUAUCCAGCUGCUUUUUCUCACCCUGCACGGGCAACAGAGUGGUCACUUCUUGCAAGGAUAACCGCAUAAGGGUAUAUGACACGUCUUCCCUGAUGUCUGAACCCCCCCUGCUGAAGUCCAUCAGUUCCUAUGUUGGUCAUUGGGCACACGGUGAAGGAAGUAAAGUAAAGGACCAUUUGACCAUCAGUUCCAGACCUUAAUUUCGACUGAGGCACCACAAACACACUCCUAGAUAUUCUCCAAAAAACAGGGAGGUGGAACUGGCAGAGGGUCACUAAAACAGCGCCCCAGCCACAAUGAACCAGAGGAACGGCCGGCAGUCCAAGCCAUGAGUGCCUGCAGCCAGCGAAGAAGAGUCAGAUGGCGUCGGCGGGUGAAGUAAAGCAGCGACUGGCGGGGAGACGGACGUCCAAGGGUUGGCCACUACGACGAUACACGAGGAGGGAGUUGAGUGCAGGAUAUGUGCCUCUGCUUUUCCGGCCAAUAAGUUAGCAGUCAAUAUUGGUUCCCACAGAGUUUGGUGUCUGCCUGUAAGUAGAAAUGCAUUAAUUGUUUUACCACACCCCUGGCCACGUCCACUGUUCCACAAAUAGAUUACCAAUCUCUUGGAAACACUACAUAUGUUGAUUUAAAUUUUCUGUAAACUUUAAGAUGUGUUACUUGCAUCUGUUUUAAGUUAAUUUCUUCGAAACAGAUUUUAAUAUUUAGGCUGAAAUGUUAAAAAUAUAAUAAUUCCAAUGACAUUUAGUACAAAUUGCUAAACUGUAUUUGUAUUAUUUUAACUGGCAUGAGGCUGAUAAGGAGAGUUACAUGUUCUCAUUCAGAAGGCAGAGAUCCCAAAAACCUUGAAAGCACCUGCUGGUCAACACUACUAAAUUACUUUAUACACUUUAUUUUUGUACUCUUAUCUCUUUGGUUUUAGUCUGUUGGGUAACAUUUGUAGGUUGUUGAACCAAACAGAUUUUUGGGAAUCCAGAGUUUGUCUGCAAGAUGCCAUUUUGGACAGUGGACUCUGUUUUCAUUACAAUUUGGUCACUUUUAUUUGCUCAUUACUUUGGAUAAAACUACUUUCAAUAUCAAGUUACUUACUGACCUCUUGAAAGGCCAAAUAAUGAACUCAAGAAAUUCAGCGGUAAGUUUAUGAGAAGUCAAAUGCCAUUUUAGUUUGCUAAAAUGAGCAGCUAAUACAAGCUAGCCUUGUAAAGUUCAUUAUGGAACUUAAUACAUAAACAUGUACUUUUUAUUAGUUUUGAAAUGUAUUGACGAAAUAAGGCUUAUUGUUGUUUUGUAAACCAUAAAAUGAAAAAAAUAUAAUAGAAAUAUUUACUAUUAAUGAUAGCUGAUGGCAAGUUCAGGACGCAAAUGCGUUACUGUAGAAAUUUGACAAAAACAACAAAAGCUGUAAAAAAAACCCAAAAACUUUUAAAGUGUUAUCUGAAUGGGGGGUAGGGGAGAUCUCAGCUGUUAUUAAGCUCCUUAUGCAUUAAAAAAGCUAAAUGUAUUGCAUGCAUAAGUUGUAUGGUCUAUGACGUCUUAUCUGGAAUCCGUGUUAUCUGGAAGUAAGUAUUUCUUUCUAUAAACUAGAAAAAAGAAGUAUGAAUUUAUCUAUGUAAGAAAGGUAAUUUUAAUAGUGGCUUUUGACAAACAGCAGCACAUUUUCAGAUCUGCCAAUCUUGAAGACAUUUUAUGAGUAUUUUUUCUUGUUACAUAAUGACUUUGACUUUAUAAUUUUUUGAAGUCUGAUUUUAUAUCUACAAUAUGCUGUGGGCCAAUAAAGAUAAAGCCACAGUCAGCUGAUGGCAUCGAGGCCGCAUUUUGAACACUCCCGCUUUUAUCUUCAUCAGCGUUGUGUGUGAAUUUACAUCUGAGAUCAACUUAUAACCUGGUUAACUAUUUAGCUCAUCAGCUUCCUUCGACGCGAGAAAAACGAUGGUAAUUAAAAAGACUGAACUCCAAAUUCAAACAGGCCAAAUGCAAGAAAAUGCGUACCUAUAAGCAACAAGGCGUACUAGUGUAUGGUCUUCCUUUUCUUUUAUUGUGUCCCAUAGUGGCAACCACAUGGACAGUCUUCUCCUGUCGAGACCUUUGUCCUCUGCUUCCUUUUCCUUUUGCUGUGUAACACACAGGCUUCAGAGUUCAGACUUACUUUUUAUUGUCAUUCAAAUUUGAACUUUACAGCACAGAUAAGAACGAAAUUUCGUUACAUAAGCUCAUGGUAGUGCAGGAUAAAAAAAAAAGCAAUAAGGUGCAUAUAUAAUUAAAUACAUAUAUGUAUAAAAUAAAUAUAUAACAAUAUAUACAAAUAAAUAAAUAAAUUACUAUAGAGAUAAAUAUAUUGCACUUUUUCACAUGUGUCCACGUUAUGGAACGUAUGUUAUAUUGUCUUUUUUAUUCCAGCGAAUUAAUCCAUUUUGGGGGGAGUUGAGGGGAUAAUUUAAUUAUGAUGGGUUCAAGAGUCUUACGGCCUGAGGGAAGAAGCUGUUACAGAACCUGGAGGUUCUGCUUCGGACCCUCUUUCUCGAGUCCAGCAGUGAAAACAGUCCUUGGUGGGGGUGGGAGGAGUCUUUGCAGAUUUUCUGAGCCCUGGUCAGGCAGCGGCUUUUUGCGAUCUCCUGGAUAGGAGAAAGAGGAGUCCUGAUGAUCUUUUCCGCCGUCCUCACCACUCUCUGGAGAAACUUCCAGUCUGAGGCAUUGCAGGCACUAGUCAAGAAAGAGAUGCUGUUGGUCAGCAGGCUCUCUAUAGUGCCUCUGUAGAAUGUGGUGAGAAUAGGGGGAGGGAGCUGUGCUCUUUUCAUCGGACGCAAAAAGUGCAUGCGCUGCUGAGCUCUUUUUACAAGAGCUCUGGUGUGUAGAGACCAGGUUAUAUUGUCAAGUUAUCUGCACCCCCAGGAACUUGGUGUUGCUUACCAUCCCCACCGCUGUGCCGUUGAUGUAGAGUGGAGCGUGGCUGGACUGGUGCUUCCUGAAGUCAACGAUGAUCUCUUUGGUCUUGUUGACAUUCAGGACCAGUCAACCAGAUGUUUUACCUCCUCCCUGUAGUCCAUGUCAAUGUUGUCACGGAUGAGGCCCACCACUGUCGUGUCGUCCACAUACUCACAAUGUGGUUAGUAGUGGACCUGGCGCAGCAGUCAUGAGUCAUCAACGUGAACAGCAGCGGACUCAGGACGCAGCCCUGGGACGAGCCGGUGCUCAGGCAGAUGGCACUGCAGGUGUUGUUGCCGACACUAUCACAGACUGGAGUCCGUCUGUGACGAAGUCAAGCAG